GAGUUUGAUCCUGGCUCAGGAUGAACGCUGGCGGCGUGCUUAACACAUGCAAGUCGAACGAUGAUCCCAGCUUGCUGGGGGAUUAGUGGCGAACGGGUGAGUAACACGUGAGUAACCUGCCCUUGACUCUGGGAUAAGCCUGGGAAACCGGGUCUAAUACUGGAUAUGACCUUCUGGCGCAUGCCAUGUUGGUGGAAAGCUUUAUUGCGGUUUUGGAUGGACUCGCGGCCUAUCAGCUUGUUGGUGGGGUAAUGGCCUACCAAGGCGACGACGGGUAGCCGGCCUGAGAGGGUGGACGGCCACACUGGGACUGAGACACGGCCCAGACUCCUACGGGAGGCAGCAGUGGGGAAUAUUGCACAAUGGGCGCAAGCCUGAUGCAGCGACGCCGCGUGGGGGAUGAAGGCCUUCGGGUUGUAAACCUCUUUCAGUAGGGAAGAAGCGAAAGUGACGGUACCUGCAGAAGAAGCGCCGGCUAACUACGUGCCAGCAGCCGCGGUAAUACGUAGGGCGCAAGCGUUAUCCGGAAUUAUUGGGCGUAAAGAGCUCGUAGGCGGUUUGUCGCGUCUGCCGUGAAAGUCCGGGGCUUAACCCCGGAUCUGCGGUGGGUACGGGCAGACUAGAGUGAUGUAGGGGAGACUGGAAUUCCUGGUGUAGCGGUGAAAUGCGCA
This 671-nucleotide ribosomal RNA is filed under the name Arthrobacter sp. YIM 90830. Its description in RNAcentral is "bacterial SSU rRNA". It matches the Rfam family "Bacterial small subunit ribosomal RNA", at positions 9 to 692 of the family's 1533-position model. Lineage: Bacteria; Bacillati; Actinomycetota; Actinomycetes; Micrococcales; Micrococcaceae. The record is from RNAcentral.